RNAcentral lists this long non-coding RNA (1016 nucleotides) under Apteryx haastii (Great spotted kiwi). Its description in RNAcentral is "lncRNA (ENSAHAG00000009537.1)". The record is from RNAcentral. Lineage: Eukaryota; Metazoa; Chordata; Aves; Apterygiformes; Apterygidae.
AUGCCACAAAACCAUCUCUGCAACGCCCACGUGACCAUGGCUCAGAAUAUACUCACUGUUUCAGAGGCUGUCAGUAACCGUCCUCUUCCAGACCCGGCUGUGCAGGCGAGGAUGGCAGGCGUCUGGCAUGGCUAUUCCCAGACGCUCAUGGCUCUUCCUGCAGCUCCAUGGGUCGGGAUGGUGCUACUACAGACAAAGCGUGCUGAGUUGUGCAGGAGGCGACUCUUGGCUAUGGUGAAAAUGCAAAACUGGAGGCAGAGGCAGCAAGACUUUCAACAGUCUGAGGUGUUUGCAAAGUGGAUAAUUGUGCAUGACCAGAUAUCUAAAACCUGGGCAAGACUCCACGCCGCGUGGCGCUUAGCCCGUCGGCAGGAGGGAGCGCGGGAGAGCAGCCCUGGAGCCGCGGAUGCCCGCCCGCCAGGGCACCCUGGCACUGAACUCCCGUCGCCCARGCAGGGUUGCCACUUCCCAGCAUGCGGGUUGGUGCACGAUGGGCAGGAAGGGCCGCGUGCUCUUCUGCAGAGCCACAUUUCCACACAAAACAGCAGCGGCUGCCCCGAGGAGAAGCCGAGUCCUGCCAGAGUGUCUCCGAAUUUGCCAGCCCUUUGGCUGGUCUCUAGUCUGCGCCAUCCAGACCGGGCUCACGUACAUGGCUCUUCGCCAGGUCUCCAGCUGAUGUAUUUCUGAGCAUGUCCGGAAGCAGAGCGCGGCGCCCAGUGCCUCCCAGAAGCACACAGCUACAGAGCAGGGCUUCCUUUUUUUCCCCUUUUGUCUUUUAGGACAUCACUUUGGGCCGAGAUGCCCAGAGUUCCCUGAGAAAAGAUCAGCGUCCUUUCGUGAACUUGCCUUCAAGCCAACUGCCAUUAAGAAGACUCUUAAUUAACUUACCAGAGUUUGAAUUCACCUUAGCUAAAGACAUUCAAGAAGUCUCUUCCUCAAAAUUUCCAAUUUUAUUUUAAAUCAAAUGGGCAUCUUAGCAGAACAGGAAUUUAAUAAAUUUGCAUUAAUGAAAAACA